This 487-nucleotide ribosomal RNA is filed under the name uncultured bacterium. RNAcentral describes it as "bacterial SSU rRNA". It matches the Rfam family "Bacterial small subunit ribosomal RNA", at positions 21 to 507 of the family's 1533-position model. The record is from RNAcentral.
GGCUCAGGAUGAACGCUAGCGGGAGGCCUAACACAUGCAAGUCGAGGGGCAGCACGUCUUCGGAUGGUGGCGACCGGCGCACGGGUGCGUAACGCGUAUGUAACUUGCCUAUAACUGGAGAAUAGCCCCAAAGAAAUUUGGAUUAAUGCUCCAUAGUAUUAUUAAACUGCAUGGUUUGAUAAUUAAAGCAUUGCGGUAUAAGAUGGGCAUGCGUCCUAUUAGCUAGAUGGUGAGGUAACGGCUCACCAUGGCUACGAUAGGUAGGGGGCCUGAGAGGGUGGUCCCCCACACUGGUACUGAGACACGGACCAGACUCCUACGGGAGGCAGCAGUGAGGAAUAUUGGUCAAUGGGCGCAAGCCUGAACCAGCCAUGCCGCGUGCAGGAAGAAUGCCCUAUGGGUUGUAAACUGCUUUUAUUUGGGAAUAAACCUCUUUACGUGUAGAGAGCUGAAGGUACCAAAUGAAUAAGCACCGGCUAACUCCGUG